RNAcentral lists this unclassified non-coding RNA (383 nucleotides) under fungal sp. Its description in RNAcentral is "partial internal transcribed spacer region". The stretch from base 1 to 46 matches the Rfam family "Eukaryotic small subunit ribosomal RNA", at positions 1786 to 1831 of the family's 1831-position model. The record is from RNAcentral. Lineage: Eukaryota; Fungi.
AAGUCGUAACAAGGUUUCCGUAGGUGAACCUGCGGAAGGAUCAUUAACACGUAUCCAACGUUAAACCCCUGUGAACUUUCAAACCCCGAUCUCGUAUUCCCAGUGAAUUUUUUCGGCACAGCAAUCCCGGUAAAUCAUGUUGAACAGUUUUGAUUCGGGACUUCUGACAAAUGCACUACGAUUGAGCGGUAGAGGGUGGCAUGGCUUCCCCUGAAUGAAAGUGUCAUUGAUUGUGUAAGGUUAACGCUUCACGAUUGCUAGAGGUCCGGCAACCAUGUCAGGUCCUUUGAGACUCCAUCGAAACCCCACUACCUAUAACAGGGCUGCGUUAACUUCGCGCCUAAAAAACCGAACAACUGUUGGCAAUGGAUAUCUUGGUUCUC